This 253-nucleotide ribosomal RNA is filed under the name uncultured bacterium. RNAcentral describes it as "partial 16S ribosomal RNA". It matches the Rfam family "Bacterial small subunit ribosomal RNA", at positions 524 to 776 of the family's 1533-position model. The record is from RNAcentral.
UACGUAGGUGGCAAGCGUUGUCCGGAUUUAUUGGGUUUAAAGGGUGCGUAGGCGGUCUAUUAAGUCAGUGCUGAAAUAUCCCGGCUUAACCGGGAGGGUGGCAUUGAUACUGAUGGACUUGAGUAAAGUUGAGGUUGGCGGAAUUGACGGUGUAGCGGUGAAAUGCUUAGAUAUCGUCAAGAACAUCUAUUGCGAAGGCAGCUAACUAAGCUUAAACUGACGCUGAGGCACGAAAGUGUGGGGAUCAAACAGG